RNAcentral lists this ribosomal RNA (253 nucleotides) under uncultured bacterium. Its description in RNAcentral is "partial 16S ribosomal RNA". It matches the Rfam family "Bacterial small subunit ribosomal RNA", at positions 524 to 776 of the family's 1533-position model. The record is from RNAcentral.
UACAGAGGGUGCGAGCGUUAAUCGGAAUUACUGGGCGUAAAGCGUGCGCAGGCGGUUUUGUAAGUCUGUCGUGAAAGCCCCGGGCUCAACCUGGGAAUUGCGAUGGAGACUGCAAGGCUUGAAUCUGGCAGAGGGGGGUAGAAUUCCACGUGUAGCAGUGAAAUGCGUAGAGAUGUGGAGGAACACCGAUGGCGAAGGCAGCCCCCUGGGCUAACACUGACGCUCAUGCACGAAAGCGUGGGGAGCAAACAGG